Molecule: ribosomal RNA, 282 nt
Filed under: uncultured bacterium
Lineage: Bacteria
Description: partial 16S ribosomal RNA
Rfam family: Bacterial small subunit ribosomal RNA
Source: RNAcentral
UACGUAGGGUCCGAGCGUUGUCCGGAAUUACUGGGCGUAAAGAGCUCGUAGGUGGUUUGUCGCGUUGUUCGUGAAAACUCACAGCUUAACUGUGGGCGUGCGGGCGAUACGGGCAGACUUGAGUACUGCAGGGGAGACUGGAAUUCCUGGUGUAGCGGUGAAAUGCGCAGAUAUCAGGAGGAACACCGGUGGCGAAGGCGGGUCUCUGGGCCGAUACUGACGCUGAGGAGCGAAAGCGUGGGGAGCGAACAGGAUUAGAACCGUACGUACGAGACCAAGAUC